This 300-nucleotide ribosomal RNA is filed under the name uncultured Cruoricaptor sp. RNAcentral describes it as "bacterial SSU rRNA". It matches the Rfam family "Bacterial small subunit ribosomal RNA", at positions 495 to 795 of the family's 1533-position model. The record is from RNAcentral. Lineage: Bacteria; Pseudomonadati; Bacteroidota; Flavobacteriia; Flavobacteriales; Weeksellaceae.
GGACGGCGUGGCCAGCGGCGGGGGUAAUGCAGGGGGAGCAGUCGGUGUUCUGAGUUACUGGGCGUAAAGGGGGCGUAGGCGGCCGUCGGAAGUCAGUUGUGAAAGCUCUGGGCUUAACCCAGAAAGGUCAACUGAUACUGCGGGGCUAGAGUGCAGAAGGGGCAACUGGAAUUCUCGGUGUAGCGGUGAAAUGCGUAGAUAUCGAGAGGAACACCUGCGGCGAAGGCGGGUUGCUGGGCUGACACUGACGCUGAUGCGCGAAAGCUAGGGGAGCGAACGGGAUUAGAUACCCGUGUAGUC